This 460-nucleotide ribosomal RNA is filed under the name uncultured bacterium. RNAcentral describes it as "partial 16S ribosomal RNA". It matches the Rfam family "Bacterial small subunit ribosomal RNA", at positions 338 to 795 of the family's 1533-position model. The record is from RNAcentral.
CCUACGGGAGGCUGCAGUGAGGAAUAUUGGUCAAUGGACGCAAGUCUGAACCAGCCAUGCCGCGUGCAGGAUGACGGCUCUAUGAGUUGUAAACUGCUUUUGUACGAGGGUAAACCCCGAUACGUGUAUCGUGUUGAAAGUAUCGUACGAAUAAGGAUCGGCUAACUCCGUGCCAGCAGCCGCGGUAAUACGGAGGAUCCGAGCGUUAUCCGGAUUUAUUGGGUUUAAAGGGUGCGUAGGCGGUUUGAUAAGUUAGAGGUGAAAUGUCGGGGCUCAACCCCGAAACUGCCUCUAAUACUGUUGGACUAGAGAAUAGUUGCGGUAGGCGGAAUGUAUGGUGUAGCGGUGAAAUGCUUAGAGAUCAUACAGAACACCGAUUGCGAAGGCAGAUUACCAAACUAUAUCUGACGUUGAGGCACGAAAGCGUGGGUAGCAAACAGGAUUAGAUACCCUAGUAGUC